Molecule: long non-coding RNA, 1128 nt
Filed under: Equus caballus (horse)
Lineage: Eukaryota; Metazoa; Chordata; Mammalia; Perissodactyla; Equidae
Description: lncRNA (ENSECAG00000036096.2)
Source: RNAcentral
AUUCCAUUGCUGAAGAUGAGCUUUCUCCAUCCAACCAAGGAGGAUUAAUAUGGACAGAUCUGUAUUUAUGUUAUCCUAGUUUAGCAACACCAACAGAAGAGAGAUCCCUUCUUUCAUCUAGCAUCUAUAUAUCAAUCCUAGGGAAGACCAUAAGUGGCCCAAACAGACACACACCCACCCCUUGGACCAAUCACUAUUGUCAGGAGGAAGGAGCAAUAUGAUUGGUUCAGUCUGGGACAUGUGCCCAUCCCUGUGGCCGGAGAAGGAGGACACCAUGACUGAAAGCCCCAGUAGAGUCCCAUGAAGUAGAGUAAGGAUUCUCUCAAAGGGAAGGGGAACUAUUACCAGACAUAAAAGAGACCUAAAACUUUGCUCCUCCCUGUGGGGGAAAAAAAGUCUGGAAUCCAUGGCAACGUAGAGGCCUCAGGAGUAAGAAUGUUAGCAGUGAAGACUCUCUCCAAGGCUCAGUAUUUCAGAAAACUUAGCAGAAUCCCACAUACACAUGACUUCCAGCAUCACAGACUACCUAAAAUGUCAUUUCCCCUCCCCCUUUUUCUUGAAUGAUAUCAACUGUUGUAAGGAUAUUGUGAAUCAAAAGCUCUGAUUGGCUUUUGAGCAAUUCCACGAAAUUUCUGAAAUGUGUAGGCAAUGCAGGCACCCUCAUCUGACAGUUGUGGUUUCUGAAAUGAAUGGUGGUAUCCAGUUUACAAUCGACUUUGGAAAUGGGUUUAAAGUGAUGGACACAAGUUACAGAUAUAUUCCUUUUUCUAGGAAAAAAAUGUUUCAAAAUGCAGGAUACAUGUGGGACUGGCUAAAAGGAGUCCUCAGUGAAAAGACUGGAAAACCACUGGCGAAAGUCAUGUCUGGAGAAGAGCAGGAAUAGACAGGAUCCACAGCUAGGACCUCGGCGGAGAAAAGCAACACCAGCCCAGUAUAGAGAAGCCACCCGCUGGAGGAAGUGGGAUCAGGAGCUCCAAGCUGGGGAAGAGGGCCUGAAGCAGGGCCACUGAUCAGUCAAUAAGCACCAAUAGGGCUGCACUGGUUGCCAAAAUAUUAAAACAUAGCUGUACCGUUUGGUAAAGAAUCAAUUCCUCUAAGAUCUCCCGAAUGCCUGCCUGAGACCCUGGG